This 28-nucleotide non-coding RNA is filed under the name Bombyx mori (domestic silkworm). Lineage: Eukaryota; Metazoa; Arthropoda; Insecta; Lepidoptera; Bombycidae. The record is from RNAcentral.
UACAAUCAAUUUCAUCGACAAAUCAGCC